AACGUAGGGCGCGAGCGUUAUCCGGAUUCACUGGGCGCAAAGCGCGUUGAGGCGGCUCCGUAAGUUGGGCGUGAAAGCCCCGGGCUUAACCCGGGGAGGGCGUCCAAUACUGCGGGGCUUGAGGGCAGCAGAGGGAGGUGGAAUUCCCGGUGUAGUGGUGAAAUGCGUAGAUAUCGGGAGGAAACCCCGUGGCGAAGGCGGCCUCCUGGGCUGCUCCUGGCGCUGAAGGCGCAAGCCUGGGGAGCGAACGGG
This 252-nucleotide ribosomal RNA is filed under the name uncultured bacterium. RNAcentral describes it as "partial 16S ribosomal RNA". It matches the Rfam family "Bacterial small subunit ribosomal RNA", at positions 524 to 776 of the family's 1533-position model. The record is from RNAcentral.